Molecule: ribosomal RNA, 253 nt
Filed under: uncultured bacterium
Lineage: Bacteria
Description: partial 16S ribosomal RNA
Rfam family: Bacterial small subunit ribosomal RNA
Source: RNAcentral
GUCGAACCGUGCGAACGUUAUUCGGAUUCACUGGGCUUAAAGGGCGCGUAGGCGGGCCAUCAAGUCCGGGGUGAAAUACUUCGGCUCAACCGGAGAACAGCCUUGGAUACUGAUGGUCUCGAGGGAGAUAGGGGUGCGUGGAACUUCCGGUGGAGCGGUGAAAUGCGUAGAUAUCGGAAGGAACGCCGGUGGCGAAAGCGGCGCACUGGAUCUCUUCUGACGCUGAGGCGCGAAAGCUAGGGGAGCGAACGGG